AGAGUUUGAUCCUGGCUCAGGAUGAACGCUAGCGGCAGGCCUAACACAUGCAAGUCGAACGGUAACAUGAGAGCUUGCUCUUGAUGACGAGUGGCGCACGGGUGCGUAACGCGUAUGCAACCUACCUUUAACUGGAAGAUAGCCUUUAGAAAUGAAGAAUAAUACUCCAUAAUAUUUACUUACGGCAUCGUAAGUAUCUUAAAGCUUCGGCGGUUAAAGAUGGGCAUGCGUUCUAUUAGUUAGUUGGUGAGGUAACUGCUCACCAAGACUUCGAUAGAUAGGGGGCCUGAGAGGGUUAUCCCCCACACUGGUACUGAGACACGGACCAGACUCCUACGGGAGGCAGCAGUGAGGAAUAUUGCACAAUGGACGAAAGUCUGAUGCAGCCAUGCCGCGUGCAGGAUGAAUGCCCUAUGGGUUGUAAACUGCUUUUAUAUAGAAGAUUUUGACGGUACCAUCAGAGGAAGCCCCGGCUAACUCCGUGCCAGCAGCCGCGGUAAUACGGAGGGGGCAAGCGUUGUUCGGAAUUAUUGGGCGUAAAGCGUAUGUAGGCGGUUGGACAAGUCAGACGUGUAAGCCCGUGGCUCAACCACGGAAUUGCGUUUGAAACUGUUUAACUUGAGUGCAGGAGAGGAAAGCGGAAUUCCCAGUGUAGCGGUGAAAUGCAUUGAUAUUGGGAAGAACAUCGGUGGCGAAGGCGGCUUUCUGGCCUGAUACUGACGCUCAGAUACGAAAGCUAGGGGAGCAAACGGGAUUAGAUACCCCGGUAGUCCUAGCCCUAAACGAUGGGCACUAGGUGUGGGAGGGAUUGACCCCUUCUGUGCCGAAGCUAACGCAUUAAGUGCCCCGCCUGGGGAGUACGGCCGCAAGGCUAAAACUCAAAGGAAUUGACGGGGACCCGCACAAGCGGUGGAGCAUGUGGUUUAAUUCGAUGCAACGCGAAGAACCUUACCUGGGUUUAAAUUGUAUGGGACAGCUAUGGAAACAUAGUCUCUCUUCGGAGCCCAUAUGAAGGUGCUGCAUGGCUGUCGUCAGCUCGUGUCGUGAGAUGUUGGGUUAAGUCCCGCAACGAGCGCAACCCCUGCCCUUAGUUGCCAGCGGGUAAUGCCGGGAACUCUAAGGGGACUGUCGGUGAUAAACCGGAGGAAGGUGGGGACGACGUCAAGUCCUCAUGGCCCCUACGUCCAGGGCUACACACGUGCUACAAUGGCCGGUACAAAGGGUUGCAAAGCCGCAAGGUGGAGCUAAUCUCAAAAAGCCUGUCUCAGUUCGGAUUGGAGUCUGCAACUCGACUCCAUGAAGUUGGAAUCGCUAGUAAUCGUGGAUCAGCUUGCCACGGUGAAUACGUUCCCGGGUCUUGUACACACCGCCCGUCACAUCAAGAAAGUCGAUUGUACCGGAAGUCAUGAUGCCAACCCGCAAGGGAGGCUGCUGCCUAUGGUAUGGUUGGUGAUCAGGGUGAAGUCGUAACAAGGUAACC
This 1480-nucleotide ribosomal RNA is filed under the name uncultured prokaryote. RNAcentral describes it as "partial 16S ribosomal RNA". It matches the Rfam family "Bacterial small subunit ribosomal RNA". The record is from RNAcentral.